Apodemus sylvaticus (European woodmouse) is the source of this 132-nucleotide small nucleolar RNA. RefSeq annotates it as small nucleolar RNA SNORA17. The transcript has a single exon. NCBI's taxonomy places the organism in Eukaryota, Metazoa, Chordata, Mammalia, Rodentia, Muridae. The record is from RefSeq and is a predicted model, not a curated record.
CUUGUCCCUAUAAGUGUUGCGGCUGUGGCUGCUGUGUCACAUUUGCAUCAGAGGGUGGCAGAGAGGAGAGAGGCUAUAUUUACACUUAGUGUUCUGACCUAUGAACAUCUGAAUGAUUAGUACCCUAACAUU